CCUACGGGAGGCAGCAGUGAGGAAUAUUGGUCAAUGGGCGCGAGCCUGAACCAGCCAAGUAGCGUGAAGGAUGACUGCCCUACGGGUUGUAAACUUCUUUUAUAAAGGAAUAAAGUGAGGCACGUGUGCCUUUUUGUAUGUACUUUAUGAAUAAGGAUCGGCUAACACCGUGCCAGCAGCCGCGGUAAUACGGAGGCUCCGAGCGUUAUCCGGAUUUAUUGGGUUUAAAGGGAGCGUAGAUGGGUUGUUAAGUCAGUUGUGAAAGUGUGCGGCUUAACCGUAAAAUUGCAAUUGAUACUGGAAGCCUUGAGUACAGUUGAGGGAGGCGGAAUUCGUGGUGUAGCGGUGAAAUGCUUAGAUAUCACGAAGAACGCCGAUUGCGAAGGCAGCUUACUAAACUGCCACUGACAUUGAUGCUCGAAAGUGUGGGUAUCAAACAGGAGUAGAUACCCUAGUAGUC
RNAcentral lists this ribosomal RNA (460 nucleotides) under uncultured bacterium. RNAcentral's name for it is "partial 16S ribosomal RNA". It matches the Rfam family "Bacterial small subunit ribosomal RNA", at positions 338 to 795 of the family's 1533-position model. The record is from RNAcentral.